Molecule: transfer RNA, 62 nt
Filed under: Pieris melete
Lineage: Eukaryota; Metazoa; Arthropoda; Insecta; Lepidoptera; Pieridae
Description: tRNA-Thr
Rfam family: tRNA
About the family: Transfer RNA (tRNA) molecules are approximately 80 nucleotides in length. Their secondary structure includes four short double-helical elements and three loops (D, anti-codon, and T loops). Further hydrogen bonds mediate the characteristic L-shaped molecular structure. tRNAs have two regions of fundamental functional importance: the anti-codon, which is responsible for specific mRNA codon recognition, and the 3' end, to which the tRNAs corresponding amino acid is attached (by aminoacyl-tRNA synthetases). tRNAs cope with the degeneracy of the genetic code in two manners: having more than one tRNA (with a specific anti-codon) for a particular amino acid; and 'wobble' base-pairing, i.e. permitting non-standard base-pairing at the 3rd anti-codon position.
Source: RNAcentral
GUUUUUAUAGUUUAAAAAAAACAUUGGUCUUGUAAACCAAAAAUAAGGUAAAUUUAAAAACU